RNAcentral lists this transfer RNA (72 nucleotides) under Stereum hirsutum FP-91666 SS1. Its description in RNAcentral is "tRNA-Gly (TCC) (tRNA-Gly-TCC-1-1)". It matches the Rfam family "tRNA". Rfam says of the family: Transfer RNA (tRNA) molecules are approximately 80 nucleotides in length. The record is from RNAcentral. Lineage: Eukaryota; Fungi; Basidiomycota; Agaricomycetes; Russulales; Stereaceae.
ACACUCGUGGUGAAGUGGUUAUCAUGCUUGCCUUCCAAGCAAGCGGCACGGGUUCGAUUCCCGUCGAGUGUA